GGAUGUGAGGGCAAUCUGCCUGCAACUUCUGUCACCUCACUGAUCACCAGGGUUGAUUUGCCUGAUCUGGCUAGCUAGGUGGGUGUCCCGUUCCCCCCCACACCACUCCAGCACGUCCCUCCCAAAGCUGUGCAGUUGGUCGAAGAAGACAACCAUCUCUGAUAAGGAGGAUAGUUCUUGAGUCAAGAGUAUAUGAGUAUUUGUGCUCCCUUGCUAGAACCUCCAAACAAGCUCAUUUCAGAGCCAUUUCCUGAAUGUCCAUUAUGCGAUAGCUGUGCUAAGCAAUGUGCACAUGAUGGUGAGGAGAGGCACAAUGUUCAACCCUCCUCAA
Molecule: small nuclear RNA, 331 nt
Filed under: Castor canadensis (American beaver)
Lineage: Eukaryota; Metazoa; Chordata; Mammalia; Rodentia; Castoridae
Description: 7SK RNA (ENSCCNG00000016017.1)
Rfam family: 7SK RNA
About the family: 7SK was discovered as an abundant small nuclear RNA in the mid-70s but a possible function has only recently been suggested. Two independent studies have found that 7SK RNA binds the CDK9/cyclin T complex (known as elongation factor P-TEFb).
Source: Rfam by way of RNAcentral